RNAcentral lists this ribosomal RNA (120 nucleotides) under uncultured bacterium. Its description in RNAcentral is "partial 16S ribosomal RNA". It matches the Rfam family "Bacterial small subunit ribosomal RNA", at positions 32 to 144 of the family's 1533-position model. The record is from RNAcentral.
AAUCAACGCUGGCGGCGUGCCUCAGACAUGCAAGUCGAACGAUUAAAGCUCUCUUCGGAGAGUGCAUAGAGUGGCGCACGGGUGAGUAACACGUAAGUAAUCUACCUUCGAGUGGGGAAU